Molecule: ribosomal RNA, 291 nt
Filed under: Spilostethus hospes
Lineage: Eukaryota; Metazoa; Arthropoda; Insecta; Hemiptera; Lygaeidae
Description: partial 16S ribosomal RNA
Source: RNAcentral
AUUUUAAAUAGCUGCAGUAUUUUGACUGUACAAAGGUAGCAUAAUCAUUUGUCUUUUAAUUGGAGGCUUGUAUGAAUGAUUGGACGAGAAAUAAGCUUUCUUUAUUUAAUAAUUUUGAAUUUAAUUUUUUAGUUAAAAAGCUAAAAUUUAUUUGUAAGACGAGAAGACCCUAUAGAAUUUUAUUUUAUUUAUUUUAUUUAUUUUAUUUUUAAAUGUUUUUAAUUUAAUUAAAAUUUGGUUGGGGUGACUGUGAAAAUUAUUUAACUUUCAUUUUUUUUUGUUCAUAAAUUA